AGAGUUUGAUCCUGGCUCAGGACGAACGCUGGCGGCGUGCCUAAUACAUGCAAGUAGAACGCUGAAGAGAGGAGCUUGCUCUUCUUGGAUGAGUUGCGAACGGGUGAGUAACGCGUAGGUAACCUGCCUUGUAGCGGGGGAUAACUAUUGGAAACGAUAGCUAAUACCGCAUAACAAUGGAUGACACAUGUCAUUUAUUUGAAAGGGGCAAUUGCUCCACUACAAGAUGGACCUGCGUUGUAUUAGCUAGUAGGUGAGGUAACGGCUCACCUAGGCGACGAUACAUAGCCGACCUGAGAGGGUGAUCGGCCACACUGGGACUGAGACACGGCCCAGACUCCUACGGGAGGCAGCAGUAGGGAAUCUUCGGCAAUGGGGGCAACCCUGACCGAGCAACGCCGCGUGAGUGAAGAAGGUUUUCGGAUCGUAAAGCUCUGUUGUAAGUCAAGAACGAGUGUGAGAGUGGAAAGUUCACACUGUGACGGUAGCUUACCAGAAAGGGACGGCUAACUACGUGCCAGCAGCCGCGGUAAUACGUAGGUCCCGAGCGUUGUCCGGAUUUAUUGGGCGUAAAGCGAGCGCAGGCGGUUUGAUAAGUCUGAAGUUAAAGGCUGUGGCUCAACCAUAGUUCGCUUUGGAAACUGUCAAACUUGAGUGCAGAAGGGGAGAGUGGAAUUCCAUGUGUAGCGGUGAAAUGCGUAGAUAUAUGGAGGAACACCGGUGGCGAAAGCGGCUCUCUGGUCUGUAACUGACGCUGAGGCUCGAAAGCGUGGGGAGCGAACAGGAUUAGAUACCCUGGUAGUCCACGCCGUAAACGAUGAGUGCUAGGUGUUGGAUCCUUUCCGGGAUUCAGCGCCGCAGCUAACGCAUUAAGCACUCCGCCUGGGGAGUACGACCGCAAGGUUGAAACUCAAAGGAAUUGACGGGGGCCCGCACAAGCGGUGGAGCAUGUGGUUUAAUUCGAAGCAACGCGAAGAACCUUACCAGGUCUUGACAUCCCGAUGCUAUUUCUAGAGAUAGAAAGUUACUUCGGUACAUCGGUGACAGGUGGUGCAUGGUUGUCGUCAGCUCGUGUCGUGAGAUGUUGGGUUAAGUCCCGCAACGAGCGCAACCUCUAUUGUUAGUUGCCAUCAUUCAGUUGGGCACUCUAGCGAGACUGCCGGUAAUAAACCGGAGGAAGGUGGGGAUGACGUCAAAUCAUCAUGCCCCUUAUGACCUGGGCUACACACGUGCUACAAUGGUUGGUACAACGAGUUGCGAGUCGGUGACGGCGAGCUAAUCUCUUAAAGCCAAUCUCAGUUCGGAUUGUAGGCUGCAACUCGCCUACAUGAAGUCGGAAUCGCUAGUAAUCGCGGAUCAGCACGCCGCGGUGAAUACGUUCCCGGGCCUUGCACUCACCGCCCGUCA
This 1407-nucleotide ribosomal RNA is filed under the name uncultured bacterium. RNAcentral's name for it is "16S ribosomal RNA". It matches the Rfam family "Bacterial small subunit ribosomal RNA". The record is from RNAcentral.